Molecule: ribosomal RNA, 509 nt
Filed under: Empoasca vitis (smaller green leafhopper)
Lineage: Eukaryota; Metazoa; Arthropoda; Insecta; Hemiptera; Cicadellidae
Description: partial large subunit ribosomal RNA
Rfam family: Bacterial large subunit ribosomal RNA (bases 379-509)
Source: RNAcentral
CAAAAACAUUUUUUUUAGGUAUUAUUAAAAAUAAGUUCUGCCCAAUGAUUAAUUAAAUGGCCGCAGUAUUUUAACUGUGCAAAGGUAGCAUAAUAAUUAGUCUUUUAAUUGAAGACUUGUAUGAAUGAAUUUUUGAGGUAUUUAUUAUAUAUAUAUUAUUAAACUAAUUUUAUUUUUUUGUUAAAAAGCUUAAUUAAUUUAAUGGGACGAUAAGACCCUAUAGAACUUAAAUUUAAACAAUUAUUUUAUUUAUUAUUAAUUAAAAUAUUAAUUUAAUUUUUUUCUGGGGAAGAAUAUAAAUUUAAAUUUUAUUUUUUUGAAUCAUUAAUUUAUGUUUAUAAGAUCUAUUAAAUAAAUAUAAGUAAAAGUUACCUUAGGGAUAACAGCGUAAUGUUUAUGGAGAGUUCAUAUCUAUAUAAAAGUUUGCGACCUCGAUGUUGAAUUAAGAUAAAAAUAGGGGGUAGAUUUUCUAAUUUUAAGUCUGUUCGACUUUUAAAUUCUUACGUGAU